This 564-nucleotide ribosomal RNA is filed under the name Phimochirus holthuisi. RNAcentral's name for it is "partial 16S ribosomal RNA". It matches the Rfam family "Bacterial large subunit ribosomal RNA", at positions 1798 to 2628 of the family's 2925-position model. The record is from RNAcentral. Lineage: Eukaryota; Metazoa; Arthropoda; Malacostraca; Decapoda; Paguridae.
GCCUGUUUUACAAAAACAUGUCUGUGUGAAAGAUAAAUACAGUUUAACCUGCUCACUGAGUUUAUUUAAAGAGCCGCAGUAUAUUGACUGUGCGAAGGUAGCAUAAUAGAUUGUCCUUUAAUUGGGGGCUUGAAUGAACGGUUGGACAAAGUAUCAUCUGUUUCUUAAGUAUAAAUGAAUUUUACUUUUAAGUGAAAAGGCUUAAAUAAACUAAAAAGACGAUAAGACCCUAUAAAUCUUUACAUAAGUUUAUAUCUUAAAUUCUAAAUUAUAUAUAAGAAGAGUAUAAGAAAAUAAUUAUGUUUUGCUGGGGCGGCAUAGAUAUAUUUUAAAACUGUUUAUAAGUUAUAUUCAAUUAUUAUUGUGUAAAUUGAUCCUUUUAGAGAUUAAAAGACUAAGAUACUUUAGGGAUAACAGCGUUAUUUUUUCUGAGAGUUCAUAUCGAAGAGAAAGUUUGCGACCUCGAUGUUGAAUUAAGGUUUCUUUAUGGUGCAGCAGCUGUAUAAGAAGGUCUGUUCGACCUUUAAUUCCUUACAUGAUUUGAGUUCAGACCGGCGUGAGCCA